This 200-nucleotide ribosomal RNA is filed under the name uncultured bacterium. Its description in RNAcentral is "partial 16S ribosomal RNA". It matches the Rfam family "Bacterial small subunit ribosomal RNA", at positions 28 to 223 of the family's 1533-position model. The record is from RNAcentral.
GAUGAACGCUAGCGGCAGGCUUAAUACAUGCAAGUCGUGGGGCAGCAUGGUGUAGCAAUACACUGAUGGCGACCGGCAAACGGGUGCGGAACACGUACGCAACCUUCCCAAAACUGGUGAAUAGCCCUCCGAAAGAAGGAUUAAUACACCGUAACAUAAUGAAAUGGCAUCAUUUUAUUAUUAUAGCUCCGGCGGUUUUG